RNAcentral lists this ribosomal RNA (510 nucleotides) under Burkholderia cepacia. Its description in RNAcentral is "bacterial SSU rRNA". It matches the Rfam family "Bacterial small subunit ribosomal RNA", at positions 66 to 566 of the family's 1533-position model. Lineage: Bacteria; Pseudomonadati; Pseudomonadota; Betaproteobacteria; Burkholderiales; Burkholderiaceae. The record is from RNAcentral.
ACGGCAGUACGCGGUAACUUGCACCUGGUGGCGAGUGGCGAACGGGUGAGUAAUACAUCGGAACAUGUCCUGUAGUGGGGGAUAGCCCGGCGAAAGCCGGAUUAAUACCGCAUACGAUCCACGGAUGAAAGCGGGGGACCUUCGGGCCUCGCGCUAUAGGGUUGGCCGAUGGCUGAUUAGCUAGUUGGUGGGGUAAAGGCCUACCAAGGCGACGAUCAGUAGCUGGUCUGAGAGGACGACCAGCCACACUGGGACUGAGACACGGCCCAGACUCCUACGGGAGGCAGCAGUGGGGAAUUUUGGACAAUGGGCGAAAGCCUGAUCCAGCAAUGCCGCGUGUGUGAAGAAGGCCUUCGGGUUGUAAAGCACUUUUGUCCGGAAAGAAAUCCUUGGCUCUACUACAGUCGGGGGAUGACGGUACCGGAAGAAUAAGCACCGGCUAACUACGUGCCAGCAGCCGCGGUAAUACGUAGGGUGCAAGCGUUUAAUCGGAAUUACUGGGCGUAAAGC